Molecule: ribosomal RNA, 485 nt
Filed under: uncultured bacterium
Lineage: Bacteria
Description: bacterial SSU rRNA
Rfam family: Bacterial small subunit ribosomal RNA
Source: RNAcentral
AGUGAACGCUGGCGGCAGGCCUAACACAUGCAAGUCGAGCGGCAGCGCGGGGGCAACCCUGGCGGCGAGCGGCGGACGGGUGAGGAAUGCAUCGGAAUCUACCUCGUUGUGGGGGAUAACCUCGGGAAACCGGGACUAAUACCGCAUACGACCUACGGGUGAAAGUGGGGGACCUUCGGGGCCUCACGCGAUGAGAUGAGCCGAUGCCGGAUUAGCUAGUUGGCGGGGUAAAGGCCCACCAAGGCGACGAUCCGUAGCUGGUCUGAGAGGAUGAUCAGCCACACUGGAACUGAGACACGGUCCAGACUCCUACGGGAGGCAGCAGUGGGGAAUAUUGGACAAUGGGCGCAAGCCUGAUCCAGCCAUGCCGCGUGUGUGAAGAAGGCCUUCGGGUUGUAAAGCACUUUUGUUGGGGAAGAAACCGGUCGGAUUAAUACUUCGGCUGAAUGACGGUACCCAAAGAAUAAGCACCGGCUAACUUCGUG